CUUUUUUUAUUCAAAUGAUAAUCUUAUUCUUUACUAUUUGUUUAUGUUUAAUAGUAUGGUUAUUUGGGGUAUUAAGUCCGUAGCGUCUACCCCAAGAACCAUAUCCCCCUUUUUUGGGAUUGGGGGGGAUAAAGACCUAUUUGGUUACCCCAAGAACCAUAUUCCCUUUUUUGGGAUUGGGGGGAAUAAAGACCUAUUUGGUUGACUUACAUUCUAUUAUUUUUGUAUCUAAAAGUCAAGAUCUAUGUAUAUAUGCCACAUUUUUUAUAAACUAAGCGACCUUCCUCUGAUUUUUUCGUAAAAUUGGAAAUACUCCAACGGUCUAUUCUUUCUUUUUUUCUAUAUUCAUAUUAAUUAUGAAUAACAAAAGAAUGAAAAGUUAAUA
This 385-nucleotide long non-coding RNA is filed under the name Linum usitatissimum (flax). RNAcentral describes it as "long non-coding RNA (LUSI_LNC002941)". Lineage: Eukaryota; Viridiplantae; Streptophyta; Magnoliopsida; Malpighiales; Linaceae. The record is from RNAcentral.